UGAUGGGCGGUUGAUCAGCGUGCUUGAAUCUUGUUGAGGGGGCGGGACAUUGUCAUGUCCCUUCUUUUUCUCAGCGGGACGACUUUUUGAAUCAAGAGUUGAUUGGUGGAGAGGCUUACCACCAGCAGCACCUGAAGUUUUUUGACGUUUAGGGUCCCUGACGUUGUCAGAACCCGAGGUACCUUCAUUCUUCUUCUUCUGCUCAGUUUCGGCGGCCCUCUUUUUCGCCGCCGCAGCAGACUGGGCGAGGUACUCCUUCAUCUUGAGUGGGUUCGCGUCAACCUUGCCUUUUCCCAUCGUAGCUGUACGGAAAACAUCAAUUAGACGAGAUACAUGAACAAAAAGAAAAAGAAGUUACGUACAAAGAUUAUAAACUUACUAAAAAAUUGAUUUAAAGUGCCGGAUUUCGACGCCUCAAUCAAGUCGUGACCGGAAAUUACUGGUAGUGUGCGGAGGUAAUCGGCGACGCCUUGUUCAGAUUCAUCCAAGGCGUCGUAUGAAACAGAUAUUUUUCGGCGAGGGUUCUUUGUCCAGUAAAAAGGGAAGAGGGGGUUAUUGUCAGAAUCUCGGAACAAGUUCUUUAUUUCGGGCGACUCCACAACUUUAAAGUAUUUCUUCUGCCAUACUUUGUAAUGGCUUUUAAGGGCGGUAAACCGACUCAUGUUCUUACGGGCUAAUAGUGGAACCCAUUUCACAGAAGUAGGUUUAGUGGUGACUGAUUUAUAGAAAAGGAAGAACAAGGGAUAGGUUGGAGUGAAACUCAAGUGUUCACAAAGAAUUUCAAAGCAGCGGAGGAAACCCCAGGCGUUGGGCUGGAGUUGGCAAGGCGCCACAUUCAGAAAAGAAAGAACGUGACAUAUAAACGGCGAGAAAGGAAGUUUAAUGUUUAAAUCUAAGAAGAAGUAGCCAUAAACAAAGAAAAAAUCGGGCGAUCCAUCGUCUGGUUCUUUACGCAACAGAACACAGUCAUCUUCGCCACAUGGGAGGACAUUCAACAGAUGAUCUUCAUUAUUCGAGGUGGCGGGAUCUAUCUUCGUGAACCCUUGAGCAGAAAUUCGAAGCGAACUAAUGCUCCCAACGCUGCUCCAGAUAGAAUGCAACAGACAUUUAUCUUCAACUAAAUGCACGUCAGAGCGCCAUUCAGGUGAAGACAAAUCUCCGUUAGAGGAGAGAAUUGAGUCUACAGAGCCGGCGGGACCGGAAUCAUCAUGGGUAGAAGGCGAGGAAUGAAUUUCAAUUAUAGAAGGGGCGACAACUUCCUCCUCCGUGGAGGGUGAAGAAAGUUCUAGGGAAGAAAGGCUAGCGUUUGGUAAAGACAUGCGAGGCAGUUUCAUAAAAAGAAGAUGAACAGAGUUAAAAGUAAAAAGAAGAUGAACAGAGUUAAAAGAAGAAAGAAGAUGAACAGAGUCAGAAAAAAGAAGUAAACGAAGAGUCUCAAGAAAGAGAAAAACUAACCAGAGGGAGAAACGUGAAUUUGAGAAAGGAGAACGUCGGCGAUAGGGGAGCACCGCGCAAUGACGACGGCCGGAGGAAGAAAAGGUUCACCGGAGUUCAAAGAAGAGAAUGAAAGCUGCGGUGAAAAGGGUUUUCAGAGCAAAAGUGAAAAAUGAAAAGUGAAAAGGGGAUUUUAUAGAGAGAAAGGAAGAGAGAGAAUGAGUGGGGGAAGAUCGUGGGAUCGUGGGAUUUGAAAUUCGAAAAGUUAGGAAGCGAAAAGACAUUACUCCUCGAGACGCGCAACUGAAGAUUGCAUUUAUAACAAAUGAUGACGAAAUCCCGGAAAAUAAGGAUACGUGCGUCAGUUGAAAAGACGUGGUUGACGGUUAUGAUUAAUGGCGACAUAUCUUUGAAACGGCAACAAAGGUGGCGAAGCGUGAAAAUGGCGAUGUAACAACGAAGGUAAAAUGGCGAUGAACGAAUAAACAAUGGAGGCGAACUACUAGGUAACAUGAUGAAGACAUUUCAACUCUUUACUCGAGUCUCAUGUCUUGGGGGCAUGUGGACUGGGCGGGACAUAAAGAAGAUUAUGUCCCGCCCAAAAUGAACAAUAAACCAUUGACGAUAGCCAAGGCGGGAAAGGCAACAUGACGAGCUUCAUUGCCCUCCCUUAGGUGAUGGACCCACAAGCCAGCUGGAAGAUUCCUUUGGAUUUGUCUUAUGUGUACGGGGAUUUGGGCCCUGAUUGUCAGGCCCAAAUAUAGGAAAGAUCCAUAUCAUGACCACCCCCUCUAUAAAAGGGGAGGUCAUCCACUUGUACGAGACCAACUUUUUCAGCAUUAAUGAGAAUAUUCCUUUUAUGGUAGUUUUGCUAUUUUAGUGCUCUGCUAGGGUUUACUUUUUGUCUUUCUCUUACAUAAGCUUGCCCUAGUACAGAACACUCACUAUUUCUUUUUCUUCCUUCACGUUUUCUUUCUUUCUUCAGCAGACCCAUUUCUGCUCUUUCUUCCUUUCUUCUCCUUUUCUUCUUCUUUUCUUUCUUUGUUACCUACUUUAUCUCCUUCUUUUAUUUGCUGCAACAACUCCCCACCGUUCCUCUUUCUCUUUUGAUCAGCAUCUCCACAUCCUUUUCUUCUCCAUGGACAACCAGUCCAUGAGCCACCACCUCUACUCUCCCUCUUGCAACCGCUGAUCACACCAUCACUAUCACCAUGAUUCUUCUCCUUUCUAACUUGCAGCAACAAACAUGGCACCACCACCAAUAUGAAAGCCACACACACCCCUUCUCAUCACAUAUUUGCUCCAUCUUCUAACCACCACCGUUCCUUGCUCUCCAUGGAGCCUAACAAUCCACCAUCUUUGUUCUCCUUCUUCUGGUUUUGAAUGGAGACCCCCAUGAAAGGACCCAAGCACCACCACCGUGAGCUCCACCACGCAGAGGACGCCACCGGCACAUCAUCUUCUCAUUUUCCUUGGUAAAAGCCUUAAUUUCUUGAUUAGUAUGUUUGUAUAUUUGAUUUCUAAAUUUAUCUGGGGUUUAGAUGAAUCAAAAUGGUUUGAGAUAGUGUUAUGGUGCUGAGAACAUGUUGGAAAUUUCAAAACCACGUUCUGUUAUGAAGUCCGUCACAAACAUCAGUUUUUCCGUCACAAAGCUCUGUUUUUCCGUCACUAACAGAACCUGCAGGGGACAAUUCCCUGUUUCGGUUCUCCAACUUGAAAAUUGCAUAACUCUCUCAUCUUUUAUCCGUUUUAGGUGUAUGACCACUUUUUAGAAAGCCCCAAGAGUCUACUUUAAUAUAAAACAUAUUUGAAACUCUUUCUACUGCUAAUUGGCUGAAGAAAAUAUAUAUUUCUAAUGUAAUAUGUUUUACUAAUCUCUUUACGAAGGUUGAGUGGUUGAGUAGAGUUUUAUGUUAAUGUAUUAAGUUUUCUAAAAAGUUGUUUCCUUUGAGUUAAGUGGUUUUGGGGGUUUUAAGGAUUUUGUUUUAAGCCUUAAUGUGCUUGAAAAGCUUUUGCGAAAACUCACAUAAAACUGUUGUUGUUUUCAAAAGUAGUAGCCGCUGUUCUGUUAAAAUCGUAUGUUUCGGUUAAUAUUUUCGAACUGUGUUCUUCAUAAAAGUUGUAGCUUUUUCUGUGAGCAAACUUUUGACACUGGUUUCGUUUCGUUUCGAUUUGUCUAGCUCAAGUUAUACGCAUUUUGGUGAGCACGGGUUAAGCUGUCCCGUUUCUCACGAACUGCUGUAGUAUUCGAUUUUUCCUGAAUUUUUUACUUUGAAUUUAGACUUGAAAAUUUAUGAGGAUUUACAAAACCUGUAGAUGAAGCCAGGAUAAAAAUAUUAGAUUUUUCGGAGGUCAUUUGACGUAUUUAACAAUUAGCUAAAGUUGCUGUACAGUUUAUAAUCGUUUGACAAAAUUAGUUAUUUCAAGUGAAAAGAAUUGCUUUGGGAAAAAGAUGAGAAAACCUUUUAUUUUAAUCGAUAUUGCAAUGCUUUGGAGUAGGAAGACAUAUUUUUAAACUUACUUACGUACGUUGUUUAUCCGUUUAUGAAAAUAGAGAACGUUUGAGUUCACACACAUUUAUUCGUUAAAAAGCGAUUGCGAAAAGUUUUGAAAGUCGAACAAGUUGUCGGAGUGUUUGGGAAUAAGCGUAUUGAUACUAUCUCGCUAGUCGAUGGAUGCUUAGGAAUAACAAGAUUGGAUAGAGUUAGAGCAAUUAAGUUUGGAUUUCCGAGUGAGGAAUUAGACUCCGAAAGGUAUUAAUUAGAAUGGAUUAACUUAUGAUUGCAAUCUUGAUGUUGGAAGAUGACUUAGGAUUGAAUCUUGAAUUCCAAGAAGUCUAUGAGCUUUACUAUAAAUACUUGGUUCUAGAAGGUCUAGAUUUGAAACUUUGGAAGUUCAAGGACUUAAAAGUGAUUAAGGGAUUGAUUGAGGACUAGAAGUUAUUUCUUAGAGAUUGAUGACUUAUCUAUAAGUUGGGAUUUUUGUAGAACCAAAGUGGAGUUUCGAAGAGACUAGGGUUGUGUGUCUAAUGAGAUAUCGCGAGUUUAAGUUUAAGAGAAAUGAUUCGAUCGUUUUGAAGGAGCUUAUGAGUCAUGAAUAAGUACAUAAUCAUUAGAUAAGAAGAGUUGGUUGCCUUGGAAGUUAACUAUGGUUUAUGGAUUACUUGAUAAGAGUUAGUGGUUUUGAUAAGAAUUGAUAAUGAUACAACGUUGGCUUGAGGAAUAGAUCGUGAGAGCGAGUUGAGACAUUAAGUUGUUGUAGGUGACUUGAUAAGUAAGUAUUGAGGAUAAAGAGGAUUAUGGAAUAGAAAACGGGAAGAGAUUACUUAAGGAGGAUGAUAGGAGUAAGCUAUUGCAGAUGCUGUGUUAAUUGCUUUAACGGGAAGUGGUGUGUAGUAUUGCGAAAAUACCUCAAUGAGUAUCCUAUUAGAGACUGAGAUCUCUAAGGAAAAUGAGAGGAGUAAGUACUAGUAAUGUGUACUUAUCUAUUUUGACAAGCAUAUGAGUAUUUGGUUUUAAAGUUGAUUUACUAAGUCAUAAGAUUUUGAAGCUUUGUUAUUGCUUUGUUGUCAUUAUGAUGACUUAUCUUAAUUUCUGAGGUUGAUCUUGAUGGUUUAUAACCAUUAAGGAGAUUGAGUUUAACUUGUGAUUUCUUCGAGUCAAUUGCUUGAGAGUGUAGCUUUAGACUUGGAAAGUAGGUAGCUCAAUUAGUGAUUAUGUUAUGUGUACUUAUGAAGGGUAUGAAUAACGGAAGCGCUUGACGAAGAAGCCAAAGAACAGACGGAAGUGAGCCAACACGGGAAAGCAAAGAUAUGACUGGAUUUGAUUUGAGUCGCAACUUAGUAAGGAAAGCGCCUAAGGUUAGGGCAACUUACAUAUUAGCUAUGACUGCAUGAUAGGCGUCGAUAAAUUCGACUUAUGCUUUAUCUGAUGUUGUUUUUGAUGAUGAGUUGAUGUUAUGAUGCUUUUCCAUACUUGUGAUGUUGUGCUUUUGUUGGAUUGAGCGUUUUGACGCAAUUUCGGAGUGGAGAUUCAUUGAUCUGGUGAUCUUUGAUAUUUCGGGUUGGAUGAACAACCCUAGGCAAGUCCAAAUGUGGGGUUUGAGACUUAGCCAUAUGUUGGAAUUCUUAGACUUUCCCCGGGAAAUGUAUUUUGGGUGGUUGAUCUUUGAAAACUUAGAAUGAUAGAGCUUUGAAAAACUAAAGACUUGGGAAACUUAGACUUUGAGAAAUAAACUCAUAACUUGACUAAUUCGAAUUGAAACAAUUUUUAUUAACGUUUAAGCAUAGGAGAACUGAAGGGGAAAAUAUUUACGAAAGACGGGGAAAAGUCGACUUUGUUGUGGGUUUGGAGAGUUAUUGGAAUCGGGAAAGCCACUGAGGUGAGCUAUGGUGAUGAUUGAAAGUCACCGAGUACUCUAGUACUCUUGGGAGUGUUGUUCGAGUCGUGUUGUAUUGACCGGCACAGGCUCUGGGCUUUGUUUGUGGGUUUUGUGGUGGGAGUUGUGUUGUAUUGACCGACACUAACUCCGAGUCGUGUUGUAUUGACCGACACUGACUCUGGCUUUGAUUUUGGGUUAUCUUGUUGUUGGAGCCGUGUUGUAUUGACCGACACUUAGUGCUCUUGUUGUUUGGGCUGUGUUGUAUUGACCGACACUAGACCCUUGUGUAUUCUUGUUGGUGGAGUGGUGUUGUAUUGACCGACACUUACUCCGAGUUGUGUUGUAUUGACCGACACUAACUCUUGGGUUUGUUGUGAGUUUGGGUUUUGAGCUAAACACUUACGUGGUAAGGACGAUUCGUUGUUUGGCUAACCAUAUUGCAUCAAUCGGGUGAAUAACGGGAAUGGUUCACCUGUGCAUCUCAUGGUGAAUAACGGGAAUGGUUCACCCUGCAUUAAUGAUGAAUAACGGGAAUGGUUCAUCAUAUGGUGAAUAACGGGAAUGGUUCACCAAGGAUGAAUAACGGGAAUGGUUCAUCCAGGAUGAAUAACGGGAAUGGUUCAUCCAUAGUGAAGAACGGGAAUGCUUCACUUGUGGCGAACGGGAACGCGUCACAAAUCCGGAUCAUGAUUGCAUAUCACACAUACAUUCAUUCUGACUUGAACUGUGUGCUGUUUGAUUAUUGAAGCAUUGUUAGAGCCAUAACAUGCUAGGAUUGUUUAUAUAUAUGUAUAUAUGAACAUAUAUCUAUACCCCAUAUCACAUGUUGAGUGUAUAUCUACUUAUUUCUGUGAGUUGACCCUAGCGCCUUGGCUUUGUUUGUAUGUUUGUGUUUGGGCGGUCGGCUUAAACCAAUAACGGUAAGCUUUUCUACCCAAAGGCUCUAGCCCUACACCCGACUCUAUUCUUCGAGUCUUCUAUAGAUCUUCCAAGUGGAGUAGCAUCUGCUCACAUCACCUCCUUUCGUCGUCUGGCAGCAGGUUCGGGUAGGUUUCGGUGCAUUGCUUUCCUAUGGUUACUCAGUGUGGAAAUCAUAGGGAGUAUAUCGGAUUUAUGGAGUCAUUGCAUAGUGAGUCCGUUGUUGGAUCUUAGUUUAUUUGUCAUGUACUCUAUGCUGUGCCUUGAUCGAGGCCAGAUGUAAAUUAUUUACGGUUGGGAGUAUGCAUUACAUAUUUUAGAAACACUUCGAAAAGGAAAAAAAAAUAAAUACUCACAUUUAUAAAUCCCUUUUGGAAAAGAUUGCAUAAUUACUUUAACAUGUUACUACCGUGGCACCCGAAAAUCGGGGUGUUACAAGCUCCUCCAAGCGAAGGGUGGAAGGAAAUGGGAGGUGGGUCUCAAAGUUCUGGCUCGUAUUCUUGUUCACAGAGGAGGAAGGGAGGUCCGAUUUGCGAUUGUGGUUUUCAGGCUCCACUAGUUACAUCCUGGACUGGUGAUAACCCUGGGCGAAAAUUUUACGGAUGUGGACUGUUCAAGAUACAUGGCAAGAGAGUCUGCAGAUUCUUUGUUUGGUAUGAUGAAUAUCAUGGACUAGUAAAAUGUGAUAGGUUUGAUGAAGAAAUUGCAAGGGAGAAGAAAAUUAUUGGUACACUGUUGAGGAAGAUUGAUGAUAUGAAGAAGAAGGAAAGGUUGUUGGAGAUUUCUUUGGGGACUUGUAUGGUUUAGAUGAUUCUGUUGGUGUUUGCUUAUGUAAACAAAUAGGGGGAUAGUUGGUGUUGGGCUAUGUAAUUUGUUGUAGUUGUUAUGUUGUUAUGUAUGAAAUUGAGAUUUUGAUGCAAUGUAAACCUGUGGUAUUUCAUGAAUGAAUUAGAGACCUGUGGUAUUUUAGCCA
Long non-coding RNA from Lotus japonicus, 7705 nucleotides. RefSeq lists it as uncharacterized. The record is from RefSeq and is a predicted model, not a curated record. The transcript is spliced from 2 exons. Lineage: Eukaryota; Viridiplantae; Streptophyta; Magnoliopsida; Fabales; Fabaceae.